RNAcentral lists this unclassified non-coding RNA (318 nucleotides) under Hevea brasiliensis (rubber tree). The record is from RNAcentral. Lineage: Eukaryota; Viridiplantae; Streptophyta; Magnoliopsida; Malpighiales; Euphorbiaceae.
CAAGUCCUGCUACGUGGUUCCGGUUUUCCGCGGCGCCAAGUACAUGAUCAGGACAACGUACUUCUAUGGAGGGAUCAACGGCAACGCUGCGCCGCCAGUGUUCGAUCAGAUUGUAGACGGAACUUUCUGGAGCGUGGUGAAUACAACGGAGGAUUAUGCCAACGGCAUGUCGUCGUAUUAUGAAGGGGUUUUUCUGGCUCAGGGGAAGACUAUGAGUUUGUGUAUCGGGGCAAAUUCGUACACGGAUUCAGACCCGUUUAUUUCGGCAUUGGAGUUCGUGAUUUUGGGGGGUUCAUUGUAUAAUUCCACUGAUUUUAA